RNAcentral lists this ribosomal RNA (357 nucleotides) under Candidatus Delongbacteria bacterium. RNAcentral's name for it is "bacterial SSU rRNA". It matches the Rfam family "Bacterial small subunit ribosomal RNA", at positions 1 to 355 of the family's 1533-position model. The record is from RNAcentral. Lineage: Bacteria; Candidatus Delongiibacteriota.
UACAACGGAGAGUUUGAUCCUGGCUCAGGACGAACGCUGGCGGCGUGCCUAACACAUGCAAGUCAACUUGAAGCUACUGCUUGCAGUAGUGAAUGGUGGCGAACGGGUGAGUAACGCGUAGACAAUCUACCAUUUAAUGUGGGAUAACUCAUUGAAAAGUGAACUAAUACCGCAUAGUCUCUCUUCAUGGCAUCAUGAUAAGAGUAAAGACUGAGGUCGUUAAAUGAUGAGUCUGCGUAUCAUUAGUUAGUUGGUAAGGUAACGGCUUACCAAGACAUCGAUGAUUAGCUGGUCUGAGAGGAUGAUCAGCCACACUGGGACUGAGAUACGGCCCAGACUCCUACGGGAGGCAGCAGU